UAGGGAAUCUUCGGCAAUGGACGAAAGUCUGACCGAGCAACGCCGCGUGAGUGAAGAAGGUUUUCGGAUCGUAAAACUCUGUUGGUAGAGAAGAACGUUGGUGAGNGUGGAAAGCUCAUCAAGUGACGGUAACUACCCAGAAAGGGACGGCUAACUACGUGCCAA
Molecule: ribosomal RNA, 165 nt
Filed under: uncultured bacterium
Lineage: Bacteria
Description: partial 16S rRNA
Rfam family: Bacterial small subunit ribosomal RNA
Source: RNAcentral